Molecule: ribosomal RNA, 271 nt
Filed under: uncultured bacterium
Lineage: Bacteria
Description: partial small subunit ribosomal RNA
Rfam family: Bacterial small subunit ribosomal RNA
Source: RNAcentral
AGAAUCAACGCUGGCGGCGUGCCUAACACAUGCAAGUCGAACGCGAAAGGGGAGCAAUCCCUGAGUAGAGUGGCAAACGGGUGAGUAACACGUGGGUGACCUGCCUCAGAGUGGGGGAUAACGUCCCGAAAGGGACGCUAAUACCGCAUAACAUCCUGCCUUUGGAAAGGCGGAGAUCAAAGCCGGGAUCGCAAGACCUGGCGCUUGGAGAGGGGCCCGCGUCUGAUUAGCUAGUUGAUAGGGUAAUGGCCUACCAAGGCAACGAUCAGUA